This 1210-nucleotide long non-coding RNA is filed under the name Monodelphis domestica (gray short-tailed opossum). RNAcentral describes it as "lncRNA (ENSMODG00000048936.1)". Lineage: Eukaryota; Metazoa; Chordata; Mammalia; Didelphimorphia; Didelphidae. The record is from RNAcentral.
UAUUCCAUGGGGCAGCCGACCCCCGCCCCCUCUGGGCCCCCACCCAGCCUACUUUUUCCUUCUGCGAGCCUGACUCCGCCCCAACUCCGGCCUCGUUCUCGGCCGCCCCGCCUUAGCUUGCAGAAUGCCGGCCACCCACUUUACGUCACAGUGGGUGACGCCCUCUGCCCGCCCCUGGAGCUCCGCCCACCUGCUGGAGCGCGUGCGCCUGCUGCUAACCGCUGCCCAGGGUGGCCGGCUCCAGUCUCUGAACCAGCGUACUCUUUUGGUUAGAAUGAAGACCCCGGGAAUCCCAUCUAAAUUUAUGACCGUAAGAAACACACACACAGUGCCUUCUUUGAGGUGGGCAUGCCAUGCAGCUGCAUCCUGUGCCAGUGUCUACUGUGUCUCACAGUUGAUGCCAACAUUUUCCCAGGACAGUUUGAGAGGGUCCUUGUACGACUUCUGACCUCUAGAUGAUCUUCAGAAUCUUCCUCAGACAAUUCAGAUGGAUUCGAUUCAGUUUCCUGGUCUAGCACUGGUAGAUUAUGCAGGUUUCACAGGCAUAUAGCAAUGAAGUCAGUCCAGUGGCUCUGUAGACCUUCAGCUUGGUAAAGAAACCUCUUCUUUCUCACACUUUCCUUUGGAGCCUCCCAAACACUAAGCCGGCUCUGGCAAUGUGUGUAUCAACUUCUUCAUCUACGGGGACAUCCCUGGAAAGCAUACUGCCAAAUUAAGUAAACUUAUUCACAACAUUCAACAUUUUUCCAUUUGCUACAUGGAACCAAUGGUUCCACUUAUGGAUGGUGAAGUCUGGCUGGUGGAGAACUAAGGUUUUCAUCCUGUGAAUUGUCAGGCCCAAAUGAGUACAAGUGGCAGAGAAUUUCCACGUUCUGCUGUAUUGCAGUCUCAGAAGUCCUGGGUACAGAGGUCCGCUCUAGAGCCAAAUUGCCAGUCAUUCGGACUCUACCACCGAGAUAGCAACUCCGAUGGGCUGACCCUGUGGUUGGAAUUCCAAACCUAUGUUUGCCUAAAACACAGCUCCUGAGAAAUCACAGGAGGCAAGCGCGCGCUCACACAGAAGGCAGAAGAAAUAGCACAGACACCCUCAAGGUCUCUCUAAAGAACUUUAAUAUUGAUUGUGAGGCACAGGAGAAGACACAGGACCACUCGGCAUGGCGUGCCCAUAUCAAAGAGGGUGCCCCGUGAAUAAAACAGCUGUGUAGAAGCA